GAGUUAUCUCCAAUUUUACGGGGAAAAGAUCAGCUUUAAUAUCCAGCGGACGCCAGCUCGCCGGAUAGUUCAUCUGCUCGGAAAUUUUCCGUUGCCGAGUUACAGACUUAUGUGGAGAUGAGCGUGUUCGGCGGCGAUAGCUGGGCUCGUGAGGCGCAGUACCGGAAGAGAAGAGUCGACGAUUUGAUUAUCGAAGGCUUAGAAGCUUCUGCCUACAAGAAACUUCCCAAUGGCAAAUUCGCUUGCAUUAUCUGCCCUAACAAUCCCGUACUCGACACUCCGAUUAUGCUCUCAGCACAUGUGAAUGGUUCACGGCAUCGAGCUGCCGAGUUGAGGCAUAAAGAUAGAGAAUUGGCUAUGGAAGAAGAGGUUAAUAAGCGAUUGGCAUUAUCAGAUUGUGUCAGCACCAACGCUGUGGCCAACGCCUCAGUUAAACAACGGAAAUCAACUAGCAGACCCUUAAUUGAGCGAGCACGGCAAGCUGCUUCUGAGGUGUUUCCUGGUGGAGUUGAACAACCAGAGAUGAAAUCUGCAAUAGGUAAUCUGGUGACGUCAUGUGGUGGAGAUUCUGGUAGUAACGGUAGUUCUAUUGAAAUUGAAGGAUCGCACAAGGGACUCAUCAGAGAGAUGCAGCCAUUAGAUUACCGAGAGCGUCAAGAGAGGGAACUGAAGUUCACGGCUGCUGGAUGGAAGCGUGAUUGCCAUGGCAGGUGGUUUAAGGAUGAAAAUGUCGAGUUUGAUUCUGAUGAAGAAGAUCCAAACAUUGUCUUAAACAACACAUCUUGACUUGAGGAAUAUUAUGUUGGAGAGUACUUGUCUGAGGAUGGUGUUCUGGUUCACUGGAUGGGAUGCAUGACUGAUUCUGUUUGUUAAUCUGAAAUACUGCAAAGUUGGUGUCGUAUGUGUCCGCGGUGGAGAUCAUAGCUACAUUUAUGUUCUUGUGCAGCAUCAAAGUAUGCUGUACUCUACUCUUUCUUAUGCCAAUAUGUUGAAAAACUCAAUUUGAACUGUGGUUCUAGGUUUAUAUAGCUUGGUUCUUGGCCUUUUGGUUACAAAUUCUGUGGAGCUUUAUCUCAAAGUUGUUUUGGGGGUUCCAGAAUGACGCAACUUUGUUUGUUAAGAUGAGCAUAGCCAAAUGGUAAACAAUAGCCAUACAUCUUAAUCUCAACUCUGCUCAUCUGUCCUGGAGGCUGAUUGUGGCUUGUGGACUUCUAAGGUCGACUUGUAUGGCCACAAAUGCAUGUCAUACUAUGACCAGAGAUGAACCAAUCAGUGGUGAUACCUACUUCUUGGGUUUUCACAGGCACGUAAAGAAAUCUCCAUGUAAAACAAUGAAAUUGGCCUUUGCGAGUAGUUGAGACGUGUCAACAAAGGCCAACUUGACGGUAUCAAGAAAGUGGGGUUGCUAUUUCAAUUCUUAAUCUGAUUGUAAUAUCUACUAGGGAGACCAAUCUUGGUGGAUUAAACAUGAAAUCAAUGAUGAUGUAGAGGAAUAAUUCAUUUGCUUUCCACA
Molecule: non-coding RNA, 1513 nt
Organism: Sesamum indicum (sesame)
Lineage: Eukaryota; Viridiplantae; Streptophyta; Magnoliopsida; Lamiales; Pedaliaceae
Source: RefSeq, a predicted model, not a curated record